This 614-nucleotide ribosomal RNA is filed under the name uncultured fungus. RNAcentral's name for it is "eukaryotic LSU rRNA". It matches the Rfam family "Eukaryotic large subunit ribosomal RNA", at positions 133 to 762 of the family's 3401-position model. The record is from RNAcentral. Lineage: Eukaryota; Fungi.
GGCGUCCGAGUUGUAAUUUGAAGAGGGUGCCAAGGCGUUGACGGCGGUCUAAGUCCCUUGGAACAGGGCAUCACAGAGGGUGAGAAUCCCGUAUGUGGCCGCAAGCCUUUCGCGGUGUAAAGCCCCUUCGACGAGUCGAGUUGUUUGGGAAUGCAGCUCUAAAUGGGAGGUAAAUAUCUUCUAAAGCUAAAUACCGGCCAGAGACCGAUAGCGCACAAGUAGAGUGAUCGAAAGAUGAAAAGCACUUUGGAAAGAGAGUCAAACAGCACGUGAAAUUGUUGAAAGGGAAGCGCUUGCAGCCAGACUUGCUCGCAGUUGCUCAUCCGGGCUCUCGCCCGGUGCACUCUUCUGCGGGCAGGCCAGCAUCAGUUUGGGCAGCCGGAUAAAGACCUCUGUCACGUAUCUUCCUUCGGGAAGACCUUAUAGGGGAGGUGUAAUGCGGCUAGCCCGGACUGAGGUCCGCGCAUUUGCUAGGAUGCUGGCGUAAUGGCUGUAAGCGGCCCGUCUUGAAACACGGACCAAGGAGUCUAACAUCUAUGCGAGUGUUUGGGUGUCAAGCCCGGGCGCGCAAUGAAAGUGAACGGAGGUGGGAACCCUCUCGGGGGUGCACCAUC